This 486-nucleotide ribosomal RNA is filed under the name uncultured bacterium. Its description in RNAcentral is "bacterial SSU rRNA". It matches the Rfam family "Bacterial small subunit ribosomal RNA", at positions 29 to 507 of the family's 1533-position model. The record is from RNAcentral.
AUGAACGCUAGCGGCAGGCUCAAUACAUGCAAGUCGUGGGGCAGCAGGUUUGUAGCAAUACAGAUGCUGGCGACCGGCAAACGGGUGCGGAACACGUACAGAACCUUCCUUUGAGCGGGGAAUAGCCCAGAGAAAUUUGGAUUAAUACCCCAUAGUAUAAUGAAGUGGCAUCACUUUAUUAUUAAAGAUUUAUCACUCGAAGAUGGCUGUGCGGCUGAUUAGGUAGUUGGCGGGGUAAAGGCCCACCAAGCCUGCGAUCAGUAACUGGUGUGAGAGCACGACCAGUCACACGGGCACUGAGACACGGGCCCGACUCCUACGGGAGGCAGCAGUAAGGAAUAUUGGUCAAUGGAGGCAACUCUGAACCAGCCAUGCCGCGUGGAGGAUGAAGGUCUUCUGGAUUGUAAACUUCUUUUAUAUGGGACGAAAAAAGGCUUUCUAAGUCGUCUGACGGUACCAUAUGAAUAAGCACCGGCUAACUCCGUG